AACCCUUGAACCCAGAAUGAGAGGCGGAAAAAAAAAAGAGAGAGCUUUUGGAUUUGAAAGGGUAUCUGGAUUUAGUGACAGGAACAGAUUGCAUUAUUUAAGAAACGAUCGAUGAGUUUGGUGAGAGAGAAAAAGAGCGCGCUUUUUGGUUAACUCUUCGUCAGAGAUUGUGAACCUAACUUUACGAAUUGGCGACCUUCAACGCUGUUUCGUGUUUCUUUCUCG
Molecule: long non-coding RNA, 225 nt
Organism: Arabidopsis thaliana (thale cress)
Lineage: Eukaryota; Viridiplantae; Streptophyta; Magnoliopsida; Brassicales; Brassicaceae
Product: other RNA
Exons: 1
Source: RefSeq